AACGAACGCUGGCGGCAUGCCUAACACAUGCAAGUCGAACGAGAUCUUCGGGUCUAGUGGCGCACGGGUGCGUAACGCGUGGGAAUCUGCCCUUUGGUUCGGAAUAACAGUUGGAAACGACUGCUAAUACCGGAUGAUGACGAAAGUCCAAAGAUUUAUCGCCAGAGGAUGAGCCCGCGUAGGAUUAGCGAGUUGGUGUGGUAAAGGCGCACCAAGGGGACGAUCCUUAGCUGGUCUGAGAGGAUGAUCAGCCACACUGGGACUGAGACACGGCCCAGACUCCUACGGGAGGCAGCAGUGGGGAAUAUUGGACAAUGGGCGAAAGCCUGAUCCAGCAAUGCCGCGUGAGUGAUGAAGGCCUUAGGGUUGUAAAGCUCUUUUACCCGGGAUGAUAAUGACAGUACCGGGAGAAUAAGCUCCGGCUAACUCCGUGCCAGCCGCCGCGGUAA
RNAcentral lists this ribosomal RNA (449 nucleotides) under uncultured bacterium. Its description in RNAcentral is "partial 16S ribosomal RNA". It matches the Rfam family "Bacterial small subunit ribosomal RNA", at positions 29 to 523 of the family's 1533-position model. The record is from RNAcentral.